GUGGGAUUGUGGCUCAGUGGUAGAGCGCUUGCCUAGCAUGUGUGAGGCCCUGGGUUCGAUUCUCAGCACCACA
RNAcentral lists this transfer RNA (73 nucleotides) under Marmota monax (woodchuck). RNAcentral describes it as "tRNA.Ala". It matches the Rfam family "tRNA". Rfam says of the family: Transfer RNA (tRNA) molecules are approximately 80 nucleotides in length. The record is from RNAcentral. Lineage: Eukaryota; Metazoa; Chordata; Mammalia; Rodentia; Sciuridae.